ACACACAGCUGGUGUACGGAGUUGGA
This 26-nucleotide non-coding RNA is filed under the name Cricetulus griseus (Chinese hamster). The record is from RNAcentral. Lineage: Eukaryota; Metazoa; Chordata; Mammalia; Rodentia; Cricetidae.